Molecule: ribosomal RNA, 733 nt
Filed under: uncultured bacterium
Lineage: Bacteria
Description: bacterial SSU rRNA
Rfam family: Bacterial small subunit ribosomal RNA
Source: RNAcentral
GACGGGUGAGUAACGCGUGGGUAACCUGCCUCAUACAGGGGGAUAACAGUCGGAAACGGCUGCUAAAACCGCAUAAGCAUACAGUAUCGCAUGGUACAGUGUGAAAAUAUUUAUAGGUAUGAGAUGGGCCCGCGUCUGAUUAGCUAGUUGGUGAGAUAAAAGCUUACCAAGGCGACGAUCAGUAGCCGGCUUGAGAGAGUGACCGGCCACAUUGGGACUGAGACACGGCCCAAACUCCUACGGGAGGCAGCAGUGGGGAAUAUUGCGCAAUGGGGGAAACCCUGAUGCAGCGACGCCGCGUGAGUGAAGAAGUAUUUCGGUAUGUAAAGCUCUAUCAGCAGGGAAGAAAUUGACGGUACCUGACUAAGAAGCCCCGGCUAACUACGUGCCAGCAGCCGCGGUAAUACGUAAGGGGCAAGCGUUAUCCGGAUUUAUUGGGUGUAAAGGGAGCGUAGUGGCAUAUCAAGUCAGAUGUGAAAGCCCGGGGCUCAACCCCGGGAUUGCAUUUGAAACUGGUAUGCUAAAGUGCAGAGAGGUAAGUGGAAUUCCUAAUGUACGGUGAAAUGCGUAAAUUUUAGAGGAACACCAUGGCCAAGGCGGCUUACUGGACUGUUACUGACCUGAUGCUCCAAACGUGGGGACCACAGAUUAUAUUCCCUGUAUUCCCCCUCAUAAUACUACGUUUCUGUUCACCUUCCCUGCCUUCCACCCUUUUUUUCCCCUAUUUUCUUUC